RNAcentral lists this long non-coding RNA (1057 nucleotides) under Buteo japonicus. Its description in RNAcentral is "lncRNA (ENSBJAG00000009225.1)". The record is from RNAcentral. Lineage: Eukaryota; Metazoa; Chordata; Aves; Accipitriformes; Accipitridae.
AGGGCAGCACAAGCUGAACAUUUCUGCAGUUACCUGACGUGGCACUUGUGCUGUGCGUAUUUCUUUCAUCUUGCAUGUUUCUUUUGCAGUUUCCAAGGCAAGGCUUACAACAGACACAGCAGCAACAACAGACAGCGGCGCUGGUCAGGCAGCUCCAGAAGCAGCUCUCUAGUAACCAGCCACAACAAGGAGUGAACCAGUACGGGCAUCCUUCACACUUCUGAAUCAGAGAUGGAAGGCGUCAUGUUACGUUUGCACUGAAGAACAGAACAUUCAAAAUUCAAUGCACUAGUUAUUGCUAGAAAGCAGUCUUUAAUUUUCUUAUUAUUUCAAUAAUUAUUUUUUGUGCUGCAGUUGAUGUGAGUAUGUAACAAGGUGGGUUUUUUGGGUUUGGGGAAUUUUUUUUUUGCAUUUAACUAGAUUUAAAUGUAUGGACUUGUGGGCCUAUUUGAAGAAUGUUAUUGCAGAUUUUAUGAAUUUGGUGCUUUUUAGGUCCUGUUACUUUUAAAGGGGACAAAGAAUGCUGGAUUUAUUUAUUUGUGGGAAACACUUCUUUUGGUUUUUUAUUCUUGUUUCUGUUUUUUUGUUGGUUUGUGUUGUUUUUUUUUUUUUUUAAAGAACUGCACUGGACCAAACUACUGAACUGAAAGGCACUUCCGAUUUUGGCAUAAAAGUUAAUUUGUUCAUUAAAAUGUUCACCUCUUUCUUUCUUGGUAGAACGAGCAUCAAUUUAAAUUGUGUUUAUUUGACUGCAAUUUUCAUAUGCACUUUAUAAAGUUCUUUGUUUAAAGUACCAAUUUUCUCUUGCUCUUAUUGUGGUAAGAAGGUGCUGAAGUGGGUUUAUUGCUUGUAUUAGAACUUCUUAAAGUUUAUAUUAAAAGCCACAAUGUAAUGUUAAUAAACCUACUAGAAGUAGCAGUGUUUCAUAUUUGGUGUUUUUAAUAUCAAGCUCACUGGUGAUCAGUUCUAAUGGAGUGCACGACACAGUAACAAGGAUUGAACGGUCAAGGCGGGUUUUGCUCUGCUCGCAUAGGGAAAUCUCCGGGUCCUGGUAGAG